RNAcentral lists this ribosomal RNA (119 nucleotides) under Arabidopsis thaliana (thale cress). Lineage: Eukaryota; Viridiplantae; Streptophyta; Magnoliopsida; Brassicales; Brassicaceae. The record is from RNAcentral.
GGAUGCGAUCAUACCAGCACUAAUGCACCGGAUCCCAUCAAAACUACGCAGUUAAGCGUGCUUGGGCGAGAGUAGUACUAGGCUGGGUGACCUCCCGGAUAGUCCUCGUGUUGCAUCCC